AAAAAAAAAAAAAAAAAGGUAUGUGUGAUUGUAGCUUUCUUUAAUAAGGAGGAGAAUUAUUAGACCUUCAUCUAAUAGUUGAAUUUUCAAUCCAUACCAUCUUCCAAAGUUAAUGUGCAAGGGAUAUUGUCAUGAUUGAGACAGAUUUUAACCCAUUCAUGACCAGGAAUGAGCAUAUUGUUAAAGCUAUUGUAAUAAAUGGUUGUUUUACAGAAACCUCUUGGGCAUUUGUUUUUAUGGUAGCUGACUUGUGCUUCGUUUGCUUGCAUGAUGGGAAACAGGAAGGAUCAAAGAGAGUAGAGGGGGAAGGAAGGGAGAGAGAGAGAGAGA
RNAcentral lists this unclassified non-coding RNA (330 nucleotides) under Hevea brasiliensis (rubber tree). Lineage: Eukaryota; Viridiplantae; Streptophyta; Magnoliopsida; Malpighiales; Euphorbiaceae. The record is from RNAcentral.